AUUGAACGCUGGCGGAAUGCUUUACACAUGCAAGUCGAACGGCAGCACGGGUGCUUGCACCUGGUGGCGAGUGGCGAACGGGUGAGUAAUACAUCGGAACGUACCCAGUCGUGGGGGAUAACGUAGCGAAAGUUACGCUAAUACCGCAUACGUCCUGAGGGAGAAAGCGGGGGACCGUAAGGCCUCGCGCGAUUGGAGCGGCCGAUGGCGGAUUAGCUAGUUGGUGGGGUAAAGGCCUACCAAGGCGACGAUCCGUAGCGGGUCUGGGAGGACGGCCCGCCACACUGGAACUGAGACACGGUCCAGACUCCUACGGGAGGCAGCAGUGGGGAAUUUUGGACAAUGGGCGAAAGCCUGAUCCAGCCAUUCCGCGUGAGUGAAGAAGGCCUUCGGGUUGUAAAGCUCUUUCGGCAGGGAAGAAACGGCUUGGGAUAAUACCCCGGGCUAAUGACGGCACCUGAAGAAGAAGCACCGGCUAACUACGUGCCAGCCGCCGCGGUAA
This 502-nucleotide ribosomal RNA is filed under the name uncultured bacterium. RNAcentral's name for it is "partial 16S ribosomal RNA". It matches the Rfam family "Bacterial small subunit ribosomal RNA", at positions 29 to 523 of the family's 1533-position model. The record is from RNAcentral.